RNAcentral lists this long non-coding RNA (613 nucleotides) under Ursus maritimus (polar bear). RNAcentral's name for it is "lncRNA (ENSUMAG00000008672.1)". Lineage: Eukaryota; Metazoa; Chordata; Mammalia; Carnivora; Ursidae. The record is from RNAcentral.
GGAAAACAGAUUCAGUACAAAGCUCCCUCCUUUUUUCCCCUAGAGCCACACAAAAACUCGGAAGUGAGGGUGGGAUGUAGCAGCACGUGACCAAAUCAACCAACACGCCAAAGUGCAGCCUGUGGUUCCACACCAAUGAAAGAAGGGCAGGGUUUUUCCCUGGCAUCUGGCGCCGGGCACCCGGCAGCCUCACACUGUGGCAUGCGAGGGACUGCGAGACUGCACUUCUGGGGUGUGCGGCAGGGGACGGAGGGCACAGCGCACAGCGCGGCACUCGGUGUGCAGGAUGGCAAAGAAAACGAGCCUAAAGAAAGCAAGAAAAUGUACAUUGCUAACGAGUCCUCACAACCCCCUACCGUCAUCAUGACUGGGGGCUCUGAAGCCUAGUUGGAUGAGAUCGUUGGGCCAAGUGCCUAGCACAGGAAAAAAAGAAAAGAUGACUUUAUAGGAGAAAUAAUGGUGAUAAUCUAGGAACCAUUUCGAGAUCAUUGGAAAAUUGAGAACAUAGGUGCAUCUGUUCAAGAGGCAAGCACUGAAAGACACAGCCUGAUGAUUUUUUAGUAAGUAUGGAAAUGGAUCCAUAUGGGGUUAGAUGAAGAAAGGGAACGCUGAG